Zea mays is the source of this 1123-nucleotide RNA transcript. RefSeq lists it as uncharacterized. The record is from RefSeq and is marked validated. NCBI's taxonomy places the organism in Eukaryota, Viridiplantae, Streptophyta, Magnoliopsida, Poales, Poaceae. The transcript has 9 exons.
GAUUAAUAAUAAAACCAAAGCCAUUUUGCUAACAUUUCCUUUCCAGCGACCGGCGAGCGCACAGCCACACGCACAGAGGGGUGUUGCCGUGUAGCAGAGCAGCUCGCGCCAUGUCCCUGUCCGUCGGCGGCGCGCGGACCUCUCUCCUCCCUUCUUCGUUCACCGCCUCUUCAUCCCGCCCGCGCUUCCUCGCGCUCCCUCUCCACCGCCGCUCGCACGGCUCCCUCACCUCGCUGCCGGCCGCGUGCAGGCGGCGGCUCCGGGUGCGCAUGGCCCGGACGGAGUCCACCGGCGUCACCAUCGGCUUCCGCGCGCCGGAUUUCGAGCUCCCUGAGCCACUGACUGGAAAGCUCUGGACGUUGGAUGACUUCGAGGGCAACUCUGCACUGCUUGUUAUGUUCAUAUGCAACCACUGUCCAUUUGUAAAACAUCUGAAAAAGGACAUCAGCAAGCUCGCCUCUUUCUAUGUGGAGAAAGGACUUGGUGCUGUUGCCAUAUCGUCCAACUCAGUUAGGACGCAUCCCCAGGAUGGCCCAGAUCGCAUGGCUGAAGAAGCAGAGCUGUUCAAAUAUCCUUUCCCAUAUCUUUACGAUGAGUCUCAAGAGGUAGCCAAGGCUUUUGGAGCGGUCUGCACGCCAGAGUUCUACUUGUUCAAAAAGGAUGGCCGGAGGCCUUUUGAACUUUUCUACCAUGGACAGUUCGAUGACUCAAGACCCAGUAACAACGUGCCUGUAACCGGAAGUUUUGCAGGGACCUAAGCCGCGCGAUUGACUGUGCGCUCAGUGGCCAAGAACUGCCCUUUGUGCAAAAGCCAAGUGUCGGCUGCAGCAUCAAAUGGCACCCAUGAGGUGCCCACCUUGUUCGGCAUUUGAUUCGGCCCAGGCUCACAGGGGCUGAAGAUGAGACAGAUCUGUGGGGGAGAAACAGAAACAUGGGAACUUCUCUUGUGUGACGGCGAAAUAGUGUAGCGCUAGCGCAGCAACCAGCAAAAGGCUCAUGUAAAGAAUUGUUCACGAAACAGAAGAGCUUCACUUCUACCUUCUGUAGGACAUGGUCAUCGCAAAAGGCGUUGGUAUUGUUUCCUGCUGGAAGUAAUUUCUGCCGGGAUGGAUAUUCAUUUUCA